UACGUAGGUGGCAAGCGUUGUCCGGAUUUACUGGGCGUAAAGGAUGCGUAGGCGGACAUUUAAGUCAGAUGUGAAAUACCCGAGCUUAACUUGGGUGCUGCAUUUGAAACUGGGUGUCUAGAGUGCAGGAGAGGUAAGUGGAAUUCCUAGUGUAGCGGUGAGAUGCGUAGAGAUUAGGAAGAACACCAGUGGCGAAGGCGACUUACUGGACUGUAACUGACGCUGAGGCAUGAAAGCGUGGGGAGCAAACAGG
Molecule: ribosomal RNA, 253 nt
Filed under: uncultured bacterium
Lineage: Bacteria
Description: partial 16S ribosomal RNA
Rfam family: Bacterial small subunit ribosomal RNA
Source: RNAcentral